Molecule: long non-coding RNA, 287 nt
Organism: Bombus impatiens (common eastern bumble bee)
Lineage: Eukaryota; Metazoa; Arthropoda; Insecta; Hymenoptera; Apidae
Exons: 2
Source: RefSeq, a predicted model, not a curated record
CGGGAAGCGAAAAAAAAAGAUACAGUACUGUAAUGCGCAUGCCUACAAAAUGGCCUACAAAACAUCCGGUUUCAUUCGCAUGAUCUUAAUGAACGGACAUUGUGAUAAAAUAGAUAUUGUAUGUACCUAUUGCAAAUGAUAUUUCAAUAUUUUAAACCAUGAUCGCGUGUUUUAAACUACACGUGAAAUUACACAAGGAACAUCGGGAUCUUCAAACACAAUAUUUAUAAUUAAAUUAUUUUGUAACCCUCUAUUACAAAAAUACAAUAAACUACAUUUAGUUUGUA